This is a long non-coding RNA of Lathyrus oleraceus (garden pea), 1063 nucleotides long. RefSeq lists it as uncharacterized. The record is from RefSeq and is a predicted model, not a curated record. The transcript has 2 exons. Lineage: Eukaryota; Viridiplantae; Streptophyta; Magnoliopsida; Fabales; Fabaceae.
UAAAACAUUUUUUUCUCAACUUUUAGACAUGAUCCAUUUCUAUAGUUGAGAUGUAGUUCUCCUACUCCCAUAAUAUUAAUGAUAAUUCUUUUCCACCUAAGAGAGCUAGUGUCAUAUUUAUUUACCUUUAUUCAAGUUGGAGCCCUUAUUCGUAGUGAUGCAAAGUUCUCAUACUUGUGGGUGACAGUCGACUGUUCUCCUUAAAAUGACAAAGGGUGCGGAAGACAAGGCCAUGGGUCUGGUUGGACUCAAGGCCAACGUGAAACUAGGCAAGGGAGUGGAGUCUCCGCAAAUCAACAUUUACUUCAUGUUUCAAAACUUUAUUUACUCUCUCCCUCUCAAAAGAGAACUUCACCGGAACAAUGCCCCGCUGCUCCAUAAAUUGCUUCAGACGGAGGGGCUCCCCCAAUCAAAAAAAUUUAGUUAUCAAAAUACUUGUCUAAUCCUCAUCUCCUCCAAUCCAACCUUGAAUUCUCCUAAUUCUCAACCAAACACUUAAACCUAGCCAAAACGUUCAUGAACCCUAAUUCCUAAAUCAGAAAUUUAACGCAAGUAUGGAGGAAUAAAAGCCUCUCCUAUUAGGGCUUUGAUUCCUCAAGCCACAAGGUAUAUAAUGGUAACAAGAACAAGGCAAAAUGGAAGAAGAAUCAAAAGAUCCUACCUACAAGGAGUAGCUUUUCCUCGGUGAGUGUUGAAUUUGAAGCAAAAACGAAAGUGAAGAUGAAGAUGAUGCACGUUCGUAACAACGUGGCUUUUGGCAAGGAAGUUAUAUGGUGCAUUGGGCAUGAAGAAUGAUGAAGAUCAUGGUGAAUAACAUUGUUUGAAGAGAUGUAGACCUUUAGGAUAAGUUUAGGAAGUCAAGGUAAAUUGUCAACUAUGUCAAAAACCUUAUAACCUUCUAUUUCUUGUGUAGUCUAUGAAUGUACUUUGUAAUGACUUGUAAUAUGUCAUUCUUAAGGCGAAGGAAGACAAUCUCAUAUUCACAAAAAAAACAUCCCUGUAAUAGAGAUUCUUACCCUCAUAAACUUGCUAUAAUCCUAUAAAAAAACAUCUUUAAAACAUA